AGGAAAAGAAACUAACAA
Molecule: small nuclear RNA, 18 nt
Filed under: Arabidopsis thaliana (thale cress)
Lineage: Eukaryota; Viridiplantae; Streptophyta; Magnoliopsida; Brassicales; Brassicaceae
Description: snRNA_01403
Source: RNAcentral